This 671-nucleotide ribosomal RNA is filed under the name uncultured Alphaproteobacteria bacterium. RNAcentral describes it as "bacterial SSU rRNA". It matches the Rfam family "Bacterial small subunit ribosomal RNA", at positions 35 to 750 of the family's 1533-position model. The record is from RNAcentral. Lineage: Bacteria; Pseudomonadati; Pseudomonadota; Alphaproteobacteria.
GCUGGCGGCAGGCCUAACACAUGCAAGUCGAGCGCCCUGUUUCGGCAGGGAGCGGCGGACGGGUGAGUAACGCGUGGGAACGUGCCCUUUAGUUCAGAAUAGCCACUGGAAACGGUGAGUAAUACUGGAUACGCCCUUCGGGGGAAAGAUUUAUCGCUAAAGGAUCGGCCCGCGUUGGAUUAGCUUGUUGGUGGGGUAAUGGCCUACCAAGGCGACGAUCUAUAGCUGGUCUGAGAGGAUGAUCAGCCACACUGGGACUGAGACACGGCCCAGACUCCUACGGGAGGCAGCAGUGGGGAAUAUUGGACAAUGGGGGUAACCCUGAUCCAGCCAUGCCGCGUGAGUGAAGAAGGCCCUAGGGUUGUAAAGCUCUUUCAGAUGUGAGGAUGAUGACAGUAGCAUCAGAAGAAGCACCGGCUAACUUCGUGCCAGCAGCCGCGGUAAUACGAAGGGUGCUAGCGUUGUUCGGAAUUACUGGGCGUAAAGGGCGUGUAGGCGGAUGAUCAAGCUAGAGGUGAAAGCCCAGGGCCCAACCCUGGAACUGCCUUUAGAACUGAUUGUCUAGAAUCCGUAAGGGGAGUGUGGAAUUCCUAGUGUAGAGGUGAAAUUCGUAGAUAUUAGGAAGAACACCAGUGGCGAAGGCGGCACUCUGGUACGGUAUUGACGCUGAG